Jatropha curcas is the source of this 1015-nucleotide non-coding RNA. NCBI's taxonomy places the organism in Eukaryota, Viridiplantae, Streptophyta, Magnoliopsida, Malpighiales, Euphorbiaceae. The record is from RefSeq and is a predicted model, not a curated record.
GCCGACACGUUGCGAAUUACGAAACAAGACACCAAUCUGGAUAAGCAAAAACAAACGACCGGUCAGUAAAUCACUCCACUUUCCUUCAGUUUGUCUCCACUCUCCGUCACGCUUACAAAAAACGCCUCUCUCUCUCUCUCUCUCCAUAAUAUAAUGGCGACGUGUUUUGCUGUUUUGGCGGUUGUCGACCAUCUAGCUGAUUUAGCGUGAAUGGAGACACGGAGGCUCGCUGUUCUCUUCUCCCAUCUCCACCCCGUAUCUCCCCGUGCCGGUUUGGCUCGCACCUGCUUUUCGCCUUCUAACUGUGUUUCUGAUGAGAAGCGGAAUCAGCAAAACGACUGCGUUUUCUGCAAGAUUAUUCGUGGAGAGUCCCCGGCUUUUAAGCUUUAUGAAGAUGAUACAUGCCUGUGUAUUUUGGAUACGAGCCCACUGACUCAUGGGCACUCUCUUAUUAUCCCAAAAUCUCAUUUUUCUUGCUUGGAAGCAACUCCUCCAUCUGUGGUUGCAGCAAUGUGUUCAAAAGUGCCUUUUAUUGGCAAUGCAAUAAUGAAAGCUACUGGUUCUGAUUCAUUCAAUUUGUUGGUUAAUAAUGGUGCAGCUGCAGGCCAAGUAAUAUUUCAUCAACAAAUAAUGGAUUAAUGGUUGACUGUGCUGACUUUGCCUUAUAACAUGGAAAUUUCAGACCCACAUCCACAUAAUCCCCCGAAAGGCGAGUGAUUGCUUGUGGACCACUGAGAGUUUGCCAAGGUGUCCCUUAGAUUUCGAUCAUAGAGCUUCCCAGCUUGUUAAUUGCGUUCGCAAGCAGUUAUCUAAUAUUUCCGAAGAAGGCAAGGGUCAAGAAUCUAGUCUCUCUUGAAAUUAUAGAUCUUUUCUGCAAUGUUUUAUGCAUACAAAUAUGAGCUUGUACCAUAAGAAUGUAUAGUCCCAUUCGUUUGAGUAGGUAGGUACCUUGAAUGACAUGCAAUGUUUUGCUGUAUUCUCUGUUGGGGGUAACUUGAUUUUUAGUACCCAGCAA